GACGAACGCUGGCGGCGUGCUUAACACAUGCAAGUCGAACGGAAAGGCCCUGCUUGCAGGGUCCUCGAGUGGCGAACGGGUGAGUAACACGUGGGUGAUCUGCCCUGCACUUCGGGAUAAGCCUGGGAAACUGGGUCUAAUACCGGAUAUGACCUUCCAUGUAGUGUGGGGGGUGGAAAGAUUUAUCGGUGUGGGAUGAGCCCGCGGCCUAUCAGCUUGUUGGUGGGGUAAUGGCCUACCAAGGCGUCGACGGGUAGCCGGCCUGAGAGGGUGGACGGCCACAUUGGGACUGAGAUACGGCCCAGACUCCUACGGGAGGCAGCAGUGGGGAAUAUUGCACAAUGGGCGGAAGCCUGAUGCAGCGACGCCGCGUGGGGGAUGACGGCCUUCGGGUUGUAAACCUCUUUCGACAGGGACGAAGCUUCGGUGACGGUACCUGUAUAAGAAGCACCGGCUAACUACGUG
This 465-nucleotide ribosomal RNA is filed under the name uncultured bacterium. Its description in RNAcentral is "partial 16S ribosomal RNA". It matches the Rfam family "Bacterial small subunit ribosomal RNA", at positions 28 to 507 of the family's 1533-position model. The record is from RNAcentral.